GACGAACGCUGGCGGCGUGCUUAACACAUGCAAGUCGAACGGUGAAGCGCCUUCCUUUUUGGUGGGUGUGGAUGAGUGGCGAACGGGUGAGUAACACGUUAGUAACCUGCCCCCUUCUUCUGGAUAACCGCAUGAAAGUGUGGCUAAUACGGGAUAUUCUGGGUCUGUCGCAUGAUGGGUCUGGGAAAGAUAUUGUUUCGGUGGGGGAUGGGCUCGCGGCCUAUCAGCUUGUUGGUGGGGUGAUGGCCUACCAAGGCGGUGAGGGGUAGCCGGCCUGAGAGGGUGGACGGUCACACUGGGACUGAGACACGGCCCAGACUCCUACGGGAGGCAGCAGUGGGGAAUAGUGCACAAUGGGCGGAAGCCUGAUGCAGCGACGCCGCGUGAGGGAUGGAGGCCUGCGGGUUGUGAACCUCUUUCGCCAGUGAAGCAGGCCUGCCUCGUUUGUGGGUGGGUUGACGGUAGCUGGAUAAGAAGCGCCGGCUAACUACGUG
Molecule: ribosomal RNA, 494 nt
Filed under: uncultured bacterium
Lineage: Bacteria
Description: partial 16S ribosomal RNA
Rfam family: Bacterial small subunit ribosomal RNA
Source: RNAcentral